GACGAACGCUGGCGGCGUGCUUAACACAUGCAAGUCGAACGGUGAAGCGCCUUCCUUUUUGGUGGGUGUGGAUGAGUGGCGAACGGGUGAGUAACACGUGAGUAACCUGCCCCCUUCUUCUGGAUAACCGCAUGAAAGUGUGGCUAAUACGGGAUAUUCUGGGUCUGUCGCAUGAUGGGUCUGGGAAAGAUAUUGUUUCGGUGGGGGAUGGGCUCGCGGCCUAUCAGCUUGUUGGUGGGGUGAUGGCCUACCAAGGCGGUGACGGGUAGCCGGCCUGAGAGGGUGGACGGGCACACUGGGACGGAGACACGGCCCAGACUCCUACGGGAGGCAGCAGUGGGGAAUAUUGCACACUGGGCGCAAGACUGAUGCAGCGACGCCGCGUGAGGGAUGGAGGCAUGCGGGUUGUGAACCUCUUUCGCCAGUGAAGCAGGCCUGCCUCGUUUGUGGGUGGGUUGACGGUAGCUGGAGAAGAAGCGCCGGCUAACUACGUG
Molecule: ribosomal RNA, 494 nt
Filed under: uncultured bacterium
Lineage: Bacteria
Description: partial 16S ribosomal RNA
Rfam family: Bacterial small subunit ribosomal RNA
Source: RNAcentral